RNA transcript from Zea mays, 2546 nucleotides. RefSeq lists it as uncharacterized. The transcript has 9 exons. The record is from RefSeq and is marked provisional. Lineage: Eukaryota; Viridiplantae; Streptophyta; Magnoliopsida; Poales; Poaceae.
UGUUGGAGUACUCUUUCCUGGAGAUGCAUCACCAGUGGGCUGCCCAAGCAACAUUGCGAGCUGUCUGUAUAGCAAAGACUCAAAAUGAUCAGUUUGUCCAACUCCAUUAUCAGUUUUGCACGAGGGUAAUCUGUCGAAGCUCUCAUUUGAUGAGGGUAAAGCAGCAAAAAGGUGACCUCCUGAAAAUCUCCACUCCUCGCUCCCUCUCCCACGCUGCAAGUGCAAAAUCACAACACGCCGUUACCGCCAUGAGGCCGCCGCCGCCGCCGCAGGCCCUAUCGCCAGAGCAUAGCACCAGCACGAAGCCGUCGUCCGCGGCGAAGAGGGCGUUCACGAGCCGGACGGCGCUGUCCACCAAGGGCCACGAGGCGCCACCCGAGCGCAAAAAGAGGAAGACGCCGCCGCCCGAGUCAACGCCAGCCAAGGCCUCGGAUGCCACAGAGCCGUCAUCCAAGAAGAAGCUCGUGCUAUUCGGGCGCGCGUGCCGCCCCGACGACGAGGCUCGCGUCCCAGAGACCCUCGCCGCGCCCUGCUGCGCCGGCGGCGGCGAGCAAUCUAGCAAGGGCGCCGCCCAAGUGAAGAACGCCGGGCAUCAAUCCAUCAAUGACGCGCUGGGGCACAAGGCCAAGACUUUAGAUGAGAUGCGCGAAUUGUAUCCUCACCUCGUCGAUGAGUCGAUGGCCCUUCUUGACCCGGCGGUGCUGGAGAGGGUGCUACCCCGCAUUGAUGACAACGAGGCCCAGGCGUUGGACAAGAAGAUCAAGAGGGCGAGGAGGCAGCUCACCAAGGCCAUCAGGGAAUCGGCAAUGAUGAAAAACAUGGAAACAUCUGUUGUAUUUCUUUGUGAGGCUACUAGGCUUCAAAUGGAAAAGCCAAGAAUGGAUAAACAGGAUGGUCUGGAUAUAUGUGCUCAAGAACGAUUGGCACGAGUGGAACGUGAAAUAGUGGAACUGAGACAGAUUGUGAUAGAUUCUCACUAUCAGGCAACGAUACAAAGCAAUCUACUCCAUGAUAAUUCAUCAUUGAAGGGUGUAAGAUGUAAAUCUGAAGAGAGUCACCCUCAACUGGCUGUAGCUGAAAAUCAGAUUCCACACAAAAUACUACAAAAGAAGAUCGAUGUGCCAAAUGGCUUCCCCCAUGAAAAGAAUGAGGAGGUUACAUCUAAGUAUAAAUAUGAUGGUGUCGUUCCCCCAAGAAACCCACAUGAUAAUCUGGUUAUCUCCUGCUUUUGUUACUUUUCUAUUUAGACAUGAAACAAACAAUUUGGUGAAAAGUAGAGAACUCUUUGGUUUUAACAGAAAUCAAUAUGAGAAGGCAAACAAACCCCAUCGAUACCCACUCCUAGAGCGAAAAACAUGUCCAGUUGUGCAUCAUCAUUAAGCAAGCUUACGCUCAAAUUUAUGAUGUCUUGGGGGACAUCCUCUUGGUUUCAAAAAAAAAAUCAUUUUUUAGUUUAAACUUGAAAACCUCUAAAAGUGUGAUACAAUAUUUCCAAACUACCGUUGUGUUUUCAAUGGAGAGCAGCCUUGUUCUAGCAUGGUCAUCAAGUGGGUCAAGGAGGAGUCUCACAUCUGGUGUAGGGCUGGAGCUAGUGGAUUAGACAGCAUCCUUUCCGCUCCAGCGCACUAAUCGGCGACCUUCUGUUUUGGGUUUCCAUGGUCAUGAGUACAGAAACUGCAAGGGUUGAUAAAGCCACCAUUCAAUACAUUUCAUGGCCGGACAAGAAAGGUUGACGCGGAAAGUCAGACUGGGCCCAAUAUGGAUGGCAAAGAGGUUGUGUUGCAUUCAAUAGUUUGGCCACAUACUCCAGUAGGCAAGGCUAUUCUUCAGAGCAGUUCGCCGUCUACAAUAGUAGGUGGCGUGAGAAUUGGAACUGAAUGUUGUAAGGUUUUUUUGAGUGAGGUGUUAAAAAGCGAUGCUCCACUGUUUCGGCAAAAUGGGGAGAUGAAGAUGUUUGAUGCACUUAAGUGUUCAAUUGCAUGGCCAAAUACCCUAGUCCAAAGAUAAUACCAUUGCUAGCAAGGCAGUACCUGACCGACCGUAUCAUCAAGGAAAUCAAAAUUAAUUUCUGAAAAAUUACAUGGAACUAUGAUUUUCUUGGUGUCUCUGACAAUUGCUUCAAGAUGGAAUGCAUAAGCUCCAUCAACGGCCAUUUGUCAUCGACAAAGCUCGUUCGGCAACUGAAUGGUGAUGUGUCAUUUUGCACAUAACGUGGAUGCCAAUAGUAAUAUUAUGAUUUUGAUCUUCAAACACAACACAUACUUUUGGUAUAGGAUGUUCUAAGGAAAAAACGUCUCAAGUUGCAUGUAACGAGUCUGUUUUGGCUUUUGUUCAUAUAUGGGUGACAAUGUGUGGUGUUACUAGACCACUGUUUGGUCAAUUGGAGUAACAAAUCUAGUGAUCUCUCUUGUUAUAGUGAUCUCUCUUGUUAGAGUUACUGUGGUUGUAUUGUAGUGGCCUCUUUGUGUAAUGGGCUUAGGUCUAACAAUUCUAUUAUAAAUAUGUCACCAACCCUAGUUAGGGUUAUGGGUGGCAAUGGGACCCAA